This 330-nucleotide unclassified non-coding RNA is filed under the name Hevea brasiliensis (rubber tree). The record is from RNAcentral. Lineage: Eukaryota; Viridiplantae; Streptophyta; Magnoliopsida; Malpighiales; Euphorbiaceae.
GGCAAUUUCAAGUAAAAUAAAGGAAUAGUGAAUGAAUAUGUGCAUAGGAUAUAGCCCGUAUACAUUGGUAUACAUCAUUUGGGCAGCGAUAUACAAAUGUUAAAAUAGUAUAAAAAUUGUACAGGUAUAAAUACGCCGAAAUAAUAUGGAAAAUACAGGUGGAAUCGCGAGAAUUCGUAUUCAAACAGAUUACAGGGCUCAAAAGGUCCAAAACGGAAUUGGAUAUACACCAUACACAACAGUAUACAUCAUUUGUAUAUCCUAUUUCUUUUUUCAGGAAAAUGGGCCAGGGCCCUUUCAGCAAAAAUUUUUAGUGUAAAUUAGGUAAAG